Molecule: ribosomal RNA, 789 nt
Filed under: uncultured archaeon
Lineage: Archaea
Description: bacterial SSU rRNA
Rfam family: Archaeal small subunit ribosomal RNA
Source: RNAcentral
ACGGCUCAGUAACACGUAGCUAACCUGCCCUAAAGUCCGUAAUAACCUCGGGAAACUGAGGCUAAGGACGGAUAAAAGAUUUUUUCUGGAAUGAUUAAUCUUGAAAAUUCACGUUAGGAUGGGGCUGCGGCUGAUUAGGUAGUUGGCGGGGUAAAUGCCCACCAAGCCGAUGAUCAGUAAGGGCUCUUAGCGGAGAAGCCCUGAGAGGGAAUCUGAGACACUAUUCCCAGCCUUACGGGGUGCAGCAGUCGGGAAACUUUUGCAAUACACGGAAGUGUGACAAAGUAAGCCAGAGUGAUUCUCUAUAAUUGAGAAUCUUUUACGAGAUGUAAAAAGUCUCGAGAAUAAGGACCGGGCAAGACUGGUGCCAGCCGCCGCGGUAAUCCCAGCGGUCCAAGUCGCAGCCACAAUUGUUGGGUCUAAAACAUCCGUAGCUUGCUUUGUAAGUCUUUUGUGAAAUCGGGCCUCUUAAGGGUCCGGCGAGCAAAAGAUACUACUUAGCUAGAGACCGGGAGGCGUAAGAAGUACAGAUUGGGUAGCGGUCAAAUGUGUUGAUCCUUUCUGGACUAACAGUCGCGAAGGCGUCUUACGAGAACGGUUCUGACAGUGAGGGAUGAAGGCUAGGGGCGCAAAGUGGAUUAGAUACCCAUGUAGUCCUAGCAGUAAACACUGCACACUAAACAUUGGUACCUCCUCGAGAGGUAUCAGUGCUGUAGGGAAGCCGGAGAGUGUGCUACCUGGGAAGUAUAGUCGCAAGGCCGAAACUUAAAGGAAUUGGCGGGGGAGCAC